This 162-nucleotide ribosomal RNA is filed under the name Bacillus cereus. Its description in RNAcentral is "partial 16S ribosomal RNA". It matches the Rfam family "Bacterial small subunit ribosomal RNA", at positions 1382 to 1533 of the family's 1533-position model. The record is from RNAcentral. Lineage: Bacteria; Bacillati; Bacillota; Bacilli; Caryophanales; Bacillaceae.
UGUACACACCGCCCGUCACACCACGAGAGUUUGUAACACCCGAAGUCGGUGGGGUAACCUUUUUGGAGCCAGCCGCCUAAGGUGGGACAGAUGAUUGGGGUGAAGUCGUAACAAGGUAGCCGUAUCGGAAGGUGCGGCUGGAUCACCUCCUUUCUAUGGAGA